CCCUAUUAUUUUGGAAAGUUAAUAAUUUGUGUCUGAGUAGUAUUAGUUAUGUUCUUGAAACUUAAAGAAUUUGGCGGUAUCUUAUUCCAUCCAGAGGAAUCUGUCUCGUUAUCGAUAGUCCGCGUUGGACCUUGCUUAGUUGUUUUGGUUUGUAUACCGCCGUUUAUUGAUUAUCUUUUUAGGGUUUAUUAAUUUUCUGGUUUCUUUAUUUUGAUUUAUUUCAGGUCAAGGUGCAGCUUGUUUCUAAGUGGAAUGAUGGAUUACAUUGUUAUUUGUUUUUUGGAUUGUUGAUUUUAAUAUUGAUAUGAAAUUGGAUUUGGUUGUAAUGUUUUGUAGAUUGUCUUCAUGAUAAUUGGUUCUGAGAUAUGUACACAUCGCCCGUCGCUCUCGUUUAUUUGUUAAUGAGAUAAGUC
This 413-nucleotide ribosomal RNA is filed under the name Coxotermes boukokoensis. Its description in RNAcentral is "partial 12S ribosomal RNA". Lineage: Eukaryota; Metazoa; Arthropoda; Insecta; Blattodea; Termitidae. The record is from RNAcentral.